UCCUUUUUUCCAAGCAUAUAUGUUGGCAAUGCGUCAGCUCCCUUAGCCAAUGGGAGGAUAGUUUUAGGUAGCCAAUGAGAGAUGAGGAACUGAGGAAAUAUUCCGAGCGCUGGAAUUGAAAGUGUUCGACGUUCUAUACUGUGGUUAUUCGUAGUUUCCUUGAAUUUUCAGCUCAGCAGAUUCGACAAUAUUUUGUGGAUGGAACUUGCGGCGAAAUAUAGGAGGAUGGAGGCUCCAGUCUUCAUACAGUCAUCCUGAUCCUAGUUUUCCAUCAUCUCUCAAAAUUAAUUCAGGAAAUUCCGGAUGGUUCCUACUAUAUGGCCACAGCCAACUACCUGUUCCAUCCUUGUCAUACUAUAUCUCAUCCUCAGUCCAAAGCAUAAAUCACAAGCCUAAGUCCUUUUCUUGACAACACAAGCAAGACAAUUCUGCAGCCUAGAGCUAUGUGUUGCUUUAGACUAUAUCAACAGGUGGUGUGUUUGCACAUGCCACAAGUGUUGUUGCUCUACAGUCCCACUUUGAAAGCGAUCACAGCAACAAAGCCACAGCAGCCUUUGGCCUUAAAUAGAUUGGGCAUACUGCAUAAGGGGAACCUAACAAUACUGUUGAACACAAAAUACUUUUAUUGUGUAUUUUGUGAUGGCAGUACCACACAGCUCGUAAGCAUUUGUGAAAACACCAUUGUUCCACCACCAAGAGAUCAUCAUCAGUUAUUCUGUAUAUCAAGGGAGAUAACUCCUUAAAUGCAUUUCAUAUGUAACUGUCAAUACAAUGCAGUCUAAUGAAGUGUUUCUGUUACCUUGUACAACAUUCAGUCAAUUCAUAUUAGCUAUAAACCAUAUGGAACUAUUGUUUUAUCACUUAGUGUACUAAUUUUCACUGU
This is a long non-coding RNA of Schistocerca gregaria, 883 nucleotides long. RefSeq lists it as uncharacterized. The transcript is spliced from 3 exons. The record is from RefSeq and is a predicted model, not a curated record. NCBI's taxonomy places the organism in Eukaryota, Metazoa, Arthropoda, Insecta, Orthoptera, Acrididae.